Molecule: long non-coding RNA, 448 nt
Organism: Micropterus dolomieu (smallmouth bass)
Lineage: Eukaryota; Metazoa; Chordata; Actinopteri; Centrarchiformes; Centrarchidae
Exons: 3
Source: RefSeq, a predicted model, not a curated record
CUGAAAGAGAGAAAAGAUCUGAGCUCAUAGGGAGUCCAGGUGUGACGUCGACCCAGAACAGACGGAAACCCAAAGCUUUUACAGAACGGGCUCGGCCCUGUUACCAUGAAGACCGUGACUGAACAAGCAGGGGUGGAGCCUGCAGCCUGCGUGCCCCUACCUGCUGAGACACACCUGUGUGAGCCUGCGUGCCCCUACCUGCUGAGACACACCUGUGUGAGCCUGCGUGCCCCUACCUGCUGAGACACACCUGUGAAACUUUCACCGGUCUCCUGGCUGAAAGUCCAGGUUUUGGCCCCAAGUGCGUUGAACUAUGAUGCAAGAGUCUCCCGUGUGUUGGCAGCAGCCGCCGAAGGGCGUGACAAAGCGCGGGUAUCUGACAGUCCGGAAAUGAGAAAUGAAAUGCAAGAGAUAACUUGUGUUAAUAAAAUGCACCACAUAAACAAAA